Molecule: non-coding RNA, 73 nt
Organism: Octopus bimaculoides (California two-spot octopus)
Lineage: Eukaryota; Metazoa; Mollusca; Cephalopoda; Octopoda; Octopodidae
Source: Rfam
GGGGAAUUAGCUCAUUUGGUAGAGCGCUCGCUUUGCAUGCGAGAGGUGCCUGGAUAGAUACCCGGAUUCUCCA